UAAGGAAUAUUGGACAAUGGGCGAGAGCCUGAUCCAGCCAUGCCGCGUGCAGGAAGACUGCCCUAUGGGUUGUAAACUGCUUUUAUACGGGAAGAAACACCCCCUCGUGAGGGGGCUUGACGGUACCGUAAGAAUAAGGAUCGGCUAACUCCGUGCCAGCAGCCGCGGUAAUACGGAGGAUCCAAGCGUUAUCCGGAAUCAUUGGGUUUAAAGGGUCCGUAGGUGGACUGUUAAGUCAGAGGUGAAAUCCUGCAGCUCAACUGUAGAAUUGCCUUUGAUACUGGUCGUCUUGAGUCAUUGUGAAGUGGUUGGAAUAUGUAGUGUAGCGGUGAAAUGCAUAGAUAUUACAUAGAACACCAAUUGCGAAGGCAGCUUACUAGGUACUAACUGACGCUGAUGGACGAAAGCGUGGGUAGCGAACAGGAUUAGAUACCCUGGUAGUCCACGCCGUAAACGAUGGAUACUAGCUGUUCGGGGCCUUGAGCUCUGAGCGGCUAAGCGAAAGUGAUAAGUAUCCCACCCGGGGAGUACGUUCGCAAGAAUGAAACUCAAAGGAAUUGACGGGGGCCCGCACAAGCGGAGGAGCAUGUGGUUUAAUUCGAUGAUACGCGAGGAACCUUACC
RNAcentral lists this ribosomal RNA (623 nucleotides) under uncultured Bacteroidota bacterium. RNAcentral describes it as "bacterial SSU rRNA". It matches the Rfam family "Bacterial small subunit ribosomal RNA", at positions 355 to 975 of the family's 1533-position model. The record is from RNAcentral. Lineage: Bacteria; Pseudomonadati; Bacteroidota.